Molecule: ribosomal RNA, 996 nt
Filed under: Triticum aestivum (bread wheat)
Lineage: Eukaryota; Viridiplantae; Streptophyta; Magnoliopsida; Poales; Poaceae
Description: partial small subunit ribosomal RNA
Source: RNAcentral
GCGUUGGCAAGGGAGUAGAGACUUGUACACAGAGUUUUUUUCUUUUUUCUUUUUGAGACUUGUAUCUUCGAAGUGGACCUCAGGGUGAGGGUGCCGUGACGCGGCGGCAGAGGGGCUUCGAGUCCCUACCUCCCCGCAUGGGAUGAGGAGCUGGUCCGCCGUGGGUCGCGCAGGCGGGGAUGACCGGCGAGGCGGAGCGUCCGCUGCCCCCUGCUCCGGCGCCGAUUUCAGCUUAAUAGUUUUUCCUCGACACAGAGUACGUUAAGUUUCCUAAAUGUUCGGUACAGUCUUCUAAGACGAUUUUGCAACGAUCUCGUCCACCGACCGACCCUCCACUUUUUACUCCCGCUGUAAGACUUUAACGUGUCCCGUACCUUCCACUUCUUGAAACGGUUUCCCGAACUCAAGAAAGUCGAACAACGACGACAACGCCUCCUUCUUCCAGUGGUGGGUCUAGAAGUAGAACAACCAACCUUAUUACACUUUUAACUACACACCUGAGUGAGUCAGUCACCAAAUUGUCUAUUACUAAAGUAGGAACGACGUUUCUAGUUACUUGAGUUCGAUCCUCCGGAAAACUCGUUCUUUUUUCGAUGACGGGUCCUCAUCGAGAGCAAUUAGUUUUCUAUAGGAAAACAUAAAACACUUUUAACGUAUACGGCGAGGUUUUCGUCCUAAGCAGGUCAUAUAUAAGACCCUAUUUACUACCAAACCGCUACGAUAACCAAGAAGUACUCUUCAAGUUCCUCCUAAAGACUAUAAUAAAAUAACAAUUACUCAGUACGGUCAUUCGAAAGACAUAAACAAGCGGCACUUCUCGUUACCCCGUAACGUGUGAAUGGAUACAUAUGACGAUGGACUAAUAGCAACCAGAGAACAUAUUUCCGGAACGAUAGUAAUACAUACCAGGAAGCAGGGGUUACACAUCAUACUUGCCAGAAAACUGGACACCUUACAUAAGGAUUAGGACUAGAUAUCUUGACGGAAAAACUUGAA